Zonotrichia albicollis (white-throated sparrow) is the source of this 2385-nucleotide non-coding RNA. The record is from RefSeq and is a predicted model, not a curated record. NCBI's taxonomy places the organism in Eukaryota, Metazoa, Chordata, Aves, Passeriformes, Passerellidae.
AAAAUAAAAUUUUUCCAAGAAUAACUGUUACCAACUUAUCCUGAUAAGUUGAUCUAUGAAUUUUAUUUCCAGUUUUGUAAACCUCAGAAAUGCCGGCGGAAAAAAUGGCAUGUCUUCAUUUUUCAUUGUUCCAGCUUCCUCUGUAGUGUGUUUUGCCUUCUUUUGGUUGUGAGAGUUAUUGGAACCAAUGCUUAACUGUACUGCAGCAUCCUAAUUUCUAGUGUAAGAAUUAAUUUAAUUAUUGAAUUUUGGUUGAUUAAGCUACAAAUUAGAGUUAGUGCCACUAAGACAGUCUUUUAUAAGAAAAAGAAAUUAUUUGAUGUUUAAAUAACUCAUAUAAGAAGAACAAUAAAUUGUAUCUGACAGUGGUAGGGCUUUAGAAAACAUUCUGCUAAGGUUUGCAUAGUUACUUACUGGAAAAUUAUGUUUCAGAUAAAAAUGUUAAACAUUCUAAUUUGAGGAUAUUGGGUCAUUCUGACUAUUAAGUUUACUUGUAUUCCUCACAGGGUUAAAACAAUUCUGUCAGACGGAAAUGUGAUCUCUCCAUGUGGAGCCUAUUCCCAUGCUUGACAACAUUUAAUGUGUUUGUCCUUACAUCAGCCUCGUGGGUAGUGUGAAGUCCAGUGAAACACAAAGUGGCUCACCCGAGAUAACCCAGGAAAAGGGUUAUAUUUAACUAUUCUUUUUAGUUUUUUCUGCCCCGUGCCAGGUUAUUUUUGAUUCCAAGGAUAAAGCUGAGUAGAUAGAAAAGGCUACUUGGCGUGCACUGAAAAAGUCAGAGACAUUCCCUGCUGACCUUUAUUACUCUUCUUUCUUUUAGGGGAGAGCACACUAUGCCCUUUGUACAGACAGCAUGUUUGGACUUGGUUUGGGAAGGAUGAGAGCUGCAGUCUGCAGCACACUGCACAGAUUGCAGAAGCUAUCUUCCUCCAGUAAUAGAUUUUAAAGGCAUCCUUCUUCAAAAACAGAUCAGCAGCCCAGGAUAGCUUUAUUUUCUCUGAGCUGCGCCUUCUUUUAUGUGGGACCUGACUAAAAGAACUGAAAGACCACAGUAAGGUUUCUGCAAAACUUUCCCUUCUCCAGGCUGAACAACCUCAUCUCUUGGAUUCCUUUGCCAGGAACGAAAAGACCACAGUAAGGUUUCUGCAAAAAUUUCGCUUCUCCAGGCUGAGCAGCCUCAUCUCUUGGAUUCCUUCACCAGGAACUGAAGGACCACAGUACGGUUUCUGCAAAACUUUCCUUUUUCCAGGCUGAACAACCUCACCUCUUGGCCUGCCUUCAUAGGAGAGGGACUCCAGCACACUGAUAACCUUGGUGGCACUUCUCUGCUCACUCCAGCAGGUCUGCAUCCUUUGUGGGCUGUGGAUCCCAGAGCAGAUGCAGUGCUCCAGGUGGGCACUGACAAGGGUAGAGCAGAGGGGCAGAAUCACCUCCCAGCCUACUGCUGCUUUUGAUGCAGCCCAGGCUGGUUCUCUGGGCUGUGAAUGGGCAUUUCCUCCCGACAGCAGGAUGCAAGAUGAUGAACGACAGUUGUAUGACUAGAUCAAGAAGUGUGAAUGUUUUAAUAUGAUCUGUGUGAUUUUUUGCUGUUUUUUCUGAUUAUGGUUACAUCAACUCAACUUUUGGAACCAUUAUUCCUCUCUCAUGCCUAUUAUAAUAGUAGGUAGAUGGUAACAGUGUUAGGUGAAUUUAAAGCACUUAGAAAUCUGAGAGAAUGCUGAAUGUGGCAAAGAGUUCUUUUUGUUGCAGUCAAUACAAAAUGAGAUGGCCUUAAAAACAAUGCCUUUAUUCUUCCUUGUAAAGAUUAAAGUGCAUUAUUUCAAACACUUGAGUGCUGCAGUUAAUCCUAGCAUAUGUACUUUAAUGCUACUGAGGAUGUUUCUGUAAUCUAGUAAUUAGUAAAGCAAAGCUUUAGUUAUCUAAUUGUAGUUGAUAAUUCCAGACUUCUAGUGAUAGUGAUAAAUACAUUGUGGAAAAUGCAGUGUGGGAGCUUUUGAGAGCUUUCAUUUCUUUUAAGGAGGGAGAAAAUGCAAAAGUCUGGGUCAGAUGUUUAAAGUUUGCUUGGGCACAGCAUCUUGAAGUUCUGGAUGCUUCAUGUUGUAUGCAGCAUCUAACAAAAAGGAUAUAAUGGGAAAGGUAGGGAAACCAUUUUUGGGGAAAAAAGUAGUUGUGUAUCUCAGCAUUUCUUGGUGUACCUAAUUAUUUCUCUUUUAUUUUUUUUCUCUUGCUGUGUCUGCCCAAACCACCCUGAAUUAAAUGUUUUCCACAUAUCUCUUCAUGGUGAGAAAGGCUGAGACUUGAUAAAAUUGUUCCUUAAGAUAAGUGUCAUGUGUUUUCUCCUGUUUUUCUUUGACUGUGUUCUCUCUCUGUUUACAAUCCAAUUGU